RNAcentral lists this transfer RNA (69 nucleotides) under Validiblatta brunnea (brown cockroach). Its description in RNAcentral is "tRNA-Asn". The record is from RNAcentral. Lineage: Eukaryota; Metazoa; Arthropoda; Insecta; Blattodea; Blattidae.
UUAACUGAAACCAAAAUAGAGGUAUAUUACUGUUAAUAAUAUAAUUGAAUAAUUAUAAUUCCAGUUAAG